UACGAAGGGGGCUAGCGUUGUUCGGAAUUACUGGGCGUAAAGCGCGCGUAGGCGGACUGACAAGUCGGGGGUGAAAUCCCGAGGCUCAACCUCGGAACUGCCUUCGAUACUGUCAGUCUUGAGGUCGGGAGAGGUGAGUGGAACUCCGAGUGUAGAGGUGAAAUUCGUAGAUAUUCGCAAGAACACCAGUGGCGAAGGCGGCUCACUGGCCCGAUACUGACGCUGAGGCACGAAAGCGUGGGGAGCAAACAGG
Molecule: ribosomal RNA, 253 nt
Filed under: uncultured bacterium
Lineage: Bacteria
Description: partial 16S ribosomal RNA
Rfam family: Bacterial small subunit ribosomal RNA
Source: RNAcentral